AGAGUUUGAUCCUGGCUCAGGACGAACGCUGGCGGCGUGCUUAACACAUGCAAGUCGAACGAAGCAUAUCGAGAUGAAGUUUUCGGAUGGAAUCAUGAUAUGACUGAGUGGCGGACGGGUGAGUAACGCGUGAGCAACCAACCCUAAAGAGGGGGACAACAGAUGGAAACGUCUGCUAAUACCGCAUAAGACCACGAGAUCGCAUGAUCAAGGGGUCAAAGGAGAAAUCCGCUUUAGGACGGGCUCGCGUCCCAUUAGUUAGUUGGCGGGGUAACGGCCCACCAAGACGACGAUGGGUAGCCGACCUGAGAGGGUGAUCGGCCACACUGGAACUGAGACACGGUCCAGACUCCUACGGGAGGCAGCAGUGGGGAAUAUUGGGCAAUGGGCGCAAGCCUGACCCAGCAACGCCGCGUGAAGGAAGAAGGUCUUCGGAUUGUAAACAUCUGUCCUGUGGGACGAAACAAAUGACGGUACCACAGGAGGAAGCCCCGGCUAACUACGUGCCAGCAGCCGCGGUAAUACGUAGGGGGCGAGCGUUGUCCGGAAUUACUGGGCGUAAAGGGUGCGUAGGCGGAAAAGCAAGUCAGAUGUGAAAUACCCGGGCUUAACCUGGGGGGUGCAUUUGAAACUGUUUUCCUUGAGUGCAGGAGAGGCAAGUGGAAUUCCUAGUGUAGCGGUGAAAUGCGUAGAUAUUAGGAGGAACACCAGUGGCGAAGGGCGACUUGCUGGACUGUAACUGACGCUGAGGCACGAAAGCGUGGGGAGCAAACAGGGAUUAGAUACCCUGGUAGUCCACGCCGUAAACGAUGGAUACUAGGUGUAGGGGGCGAUAGUUCUCUGUGCCGCAGUAAACGCAAUAAGUAUCCCGCCUGGGGAGUACGAUCGCAAGGUUGAAACUCAAAGGAAUUGACGGGGGCCCGCACAAGCAGCGGAGCAUGUGGUUUAAUUCGAAGCAACGCGAAGAACCUUACCAAGGCUUGACAUCCCUUGAACGCUGUAGAGAUACAGAAUCCCUUCGGGGCAAGGAGACAGGUGGUGCAUGGUUGUCGUCAGCUCGUGUCGUGAGAUGUUGGGUUAAGUCCCGCAACGAGCGCAACCCCUAUUGCUAGUUGCCAGCAUGUAAAGAUGGGAACUCUAGUGAGACUGCCGGGGACAACUCGGAGGAAGGUGGGGACGACGUCAAAUCAUCAUGCCCCUUAUGUCUUGGGCUACACACGUGCUACAAUGGCCGGUACAAAGGGCAGCGAAGCCGUAAGGCUAAGCGAAUCUCAAAAAGCCGGUCCCAGUUCGGAUUGUGGGCUGCAACCCGCCCACAUGAAGUCGGAGUUGCUAGUAAUCGCGAAUCAGCAUGUCGCGGUGAAUGCGUUCCCGGGCCUUGCACACACCGCCCGUCA
Molecule: ribosomal RNA, 1397 nt
Filed under: uncultured bacterium
Lineage: Bacteria
Description: bacterial SSU rRNA
Rfam family: Bacterial small subunit ribosomal RNA
Source: RNAcentral